GGCGGACGUCAGAAGGAGAAAUAAGAGGUGGGGAUGGAAGUAAAGGGGAGGAAUGGAGGAUGGGGAUGGAGGUGAGGAACAGCCCACGGGGAUGAGGAUGGAAGUGAGGCAGCCGCGAGGAGCAGAGGAUGGAGAAAUAAGAAGUGGGAGGCCGUGAGAGGUAGAAGAUGGGAGGAAGAAGAAGGAGAGGUGGAGAAGGGAGCCAGGAGGACCCUACGGGAGAGGAGAGGGGGUGAGCACGGAUGGGACUCCCCUUUGCGACCCCACGAUGCUCAGCCCUGAUGGGUGUCUGUCGGGGACUUACGCGUGGACCGGCGGGACCGGAAGCACCGGAGGGACCUUGUUCACCAGGAGCGCCCUGUGCACAGCGGGGCACGAGAGAGAGCCCUGUGAGCAUCUCAGGGUGCGGGGCAGCCGACGCCAUCCCCACACCCGGAGGCACUUACGGGAGGACCGGGUGGGCCCUGGAGACCGGAGAAGCCUCUGUGGCCCUUCAUGCCUCUGUCUCCCUGUUCACCGGUCUCGCCUUUGUCGCCGCGAGGACCUUGGGGACCCUGCGGAGGACAUGAGCUGAGCACGACCCCAGCAGCGCGCCGUCCCCAUGGCCACGGGGACGAGGAAGGACGAAGGAGGAGGAGGGAUGGGGACAGAGACUUACAGCAGGACCACGAGCACCAGCGGGACCAGGGGGGCCGGCGGGACCAGCGGGGCCCUGGGACAGGAGGGAGAACGGUCAGAGAACGGUCAGAGCAUCGCCCACAGCAGCGACGGGGCAUCGCCCCACAUGGCACACGGGGGUCGCGUCCCCCCUGUGGGCGGCGCCCUCCUGUGCCGGGAUCCAAGCAGGGGGACAGAGCGACCCCAACCCCGGUCGGCAGGACCGACGGGGCCGGGGCACCGGGGGCACCGGGAGCACCAGGGGGGCCGGCAGGGCCCGUCUCACCACGGUCACCCUGAGAGGAGGAGGAGGAGGAGGAGGAGGAAGAGCAGACAUAAGCACGGAUCGGCACAGCACCGCCGCCCCAACCCACCUCCCCAACCGCGGGCACUCACCUUGGGACCGGCAGCACCGUCACGACCGGGGGCACCUUCGGCACCGGGAGCACCCUAUGGGACAGCAAGACCCCGAAGCCCCCCGUUAGGAUGAGGGAUGCUGACGAGGGGGGGCACAUCGCUGAGCCCGGCACGUCCAGCCUUCACCCUACCUCACGUCCAGCUUCACCAGGGGGGCCAGCAAGGCCGGGGGGGCCCAUGGGGCCGGGAGGACCGCGUUCACCGGGGGAUCCGGAGGGACCCUGCUUGCCGGGUUCGCCCUACGGAGCAGAGAGCGCGGAGGCGUCGGACACCGGCAGCGCCCAUCAGCCCGGGGGGCCGCACGGUGAGCUGGGGGGGUCCCAUGGGUACUCACAGAGGGGCCGGGCAGGCCGGGGAAGCCUCUCUCGCCUCUCUGUCCGGGGAGACCGACGACACCGCGCUGACCGGCGAUACCUUGGGGUCCGGGGGUGCCGGGAGCGCCCUGGGGGGGGGGACGAGCAGCACCUCAACGUGGGCACCUCCCGAUGGAGGGCAGAACCGCGGGGCGACGCGGCCCGGUGUCCGCGGGGGGCUCACGCCGUGGGGUGACUUACAAUGGGGCCGUCGGCGCCGGGGGCGCCCUUCUCGCCGGGGGGGCCGGGGGGGCCAGCAGGGCCGGGUUCACCGGGGCGGCCAGCGGGGCCGGUCUCACCACGGGGUCCUUUGCCACCUUCCUUACCGCUGGGGCCGGGGGGGCCGGGAAGGCCGAUGUUACCCUGGGUGAGGGGGGGGGGUGAUGCAGUCAGACCCCCCCGGCGGUGGGCCCGGGGGCGGCCGGUGCCGAAUGGGCCACGGCGGCCACGCGGAGCCCUUCCCGGCAUCCACACAGCCGCGCGGAGCCGGCAGCCCCCCCACCCCCCGCAACACAUCGCCAUCAGGGGGGGGGCACAGCACUCACGGAGGGGCCGGGGGGACCGACUCUUCCAGCAGCACCAGGGAAACCAGUAGCACCCUGCGGGGGACAAACGCUGCGGUCAGGGGGGGCUGCGACCCACGGGGGGGCACCUCCUGCUGCCCCCUGCGCCAGCGGCCCCCCCAGACUCAAAGCUCGCCCCACGGGGGGGGGGUACAGCUUUGAGUUUGGGGGAGAGAGGGGAGAAACGAGCAGCCUUCACCCACCCCCCCACGGGACCGACCCCCCCUCCCCACGUGUGACGUCACCCACCCGAACAGCUUCGGGGUGCGCACCCAUAGUUUGGGGUCGGGACGCAGGGGGGGCUGAGCCACCCAUAGGCGCACACACACCCACCUCCCCCCCAACCCGGGGGGCCACGCAACCCCCCCAUAAAGCCCAUAUACUUACAGGGGGUCCAGCGCUUCCGCGAGCGCCUUUGGGACCGGGAGCACCAACAGCACCCUAUGGGGGUAUGGGGGGGGGAGAGAGGGGUGAGCCACACUGUGCAGACGUCUCCUUGGGGGGGGUAAUUGGGGGGGGGGGGGACACUUACGGCAGGGCCGGGAGCACCAGUGGGGCCAGCGGGGCCAGGGGGGCCGGCGUC
This 2573-nucleotide long non-coding RNA is filed under the name Gallus gallus (chicken). Lineage: Eukaryota; Metazoa; Chordata; Aves; Galliformes; Phasianidae. The record is from RNAcentral.